CGUUAGCCCAGACUCGCCUUCGAUCUGGAAUCUAGCGCCGAUAGAGGGCUCUUCACGGUAGUGGCGUUGCGAACACCACCGGAGAACAGUUUCGCAAAUGAGUUUGUCGAAUACUUGUGUGCAAGAGAUUCGGAACUGAGAAAACGAUAGCCACACUACGCCCGUAGAAGCCCUGUUUUAAUUCCGAAGGACCCGGGUUCGAUUCCCGGCACCUCCACCA
RNAcentral lists this transfer-messenger RNA (220 nucleotides) under Actinomycetota bacterium. Its description in RNAcentral is "Actinobacteria bacterium partial transfer-messenger RNA". It matches the Rfam family "transfer-messenger RNA", at positions 141 to 374 of the family's 374-position model. Rfam says of the family: Bacterial tmRNA, also known as 10Sa RNA or SsrA, is named for its dual tRNA and mRNA-like properties. Its role is to liberate the mRNA from a stalled ribosome. To accomplish this part of the tmRNA is used as a reading frame that ends in a translation stop signal. Lineage: Bacteria; Bacillati; Actinomycetota. The record is from RNAcentral.